AGUGGCGAACGGCUGAGUAACACGUGGGCAACCUGCCCAAAAGAGGGGGAUAACACUUGGAAACAGGUGCUAAUACCGCAUAACCAUAGUUACCGCAUGGUAACUAUGUAAAAGGUGGCUAUGCUACCGCUUUUGGAUGGGCCCGCGGCGCAUUAGCUAGUUGGUGGGGUAAAGGCUUACCAAGGCAAUGAUGCGUAGCCGAACUGAGAGGUUGAUCGGCCACAUUGGGACUGAGACACGGCCCAAACUCCUACGGGAGGCAGCAGUAGGGAAUCUUCCACAAUGGGCGAAAGCCUGAUGGAGCAACGCCGCGUGGGUGAAGAAGGUCUUCGGAUCGUAAAACCCUGUUGUUAGAGAAGAAAGUGCGUGAGAGUAACUGUUCACGUUUCGACGGUAUCUAACCAGAAAGCCACGGCUAACUACGUGCCAGCAGCCGCGGUAAUACGUAGGUGGCAAGCGUUAUCCGGAUUUAUUGGGCGUAAAGGGAACGCAGGCGGUCUUUUAAGUCUGAUGUGAAAGCCUUCGGCUUAACCGGAGUAGUGCAUUGGAAACUGGGAGACUUGAGUGCAGAAGAGGAGAGUGGAACUCCAUGUGUAGCGGUGAAAUGCGUAGAUAUUUGGAAAACACCAGUGGCGAAAGCGGCUCUCUGGUCUGUAACUGACGCUGAGGUUCGAAAGCGUGGGUAGCAAACAGGAUUAGAUACCCUGGUA
This 710-nucleotide ribosomal RNA is filed under the name uncultured bacterium. Its description in RNAcentral is "bacterial SSU rRNA". It matches the Rfam family "Bacterial small subunit ribosomal RNA", at positions 94 to 792 of the family's 1533-position model. The record is from RNAcentral.